This 497-nucleotide ribosomal RNA is filed under the name uncultured bacterium. RNAcentral describes it as "partial 16S ribosomal RNA". It matches the Rfam family "Bacterial small subunit ribosomal RNA", at positions 28 to 507 of the family's 1533-position model. The record is from RNAcentral.
GAUGAACGCUGGCGGCGUGCCUAAUACAUGCAAGUCGAGCGAACAGAUAAGGAGCUUGCUCCUUUGACGUUAGCGGCGGACGGGUGAGUAACACGUGGGUAACCUACCUAUAAGACUGGGAUAACUUCGGGAAACCGGAGCUAAUACCGGAUAAUAUUUCGAACCGCAUGGUUCGAUAGUGAAAGAUGGUUUUGCUAUCACUUAUAGAUGGACCCGCGCCGUAUUAGCUAGUUGGUAAGGUAACGGCUUACCAAGGCGACGAUCCGUAGCCGACCUGAGAGGGUGAUCGGCCACACUGGAACUGAGACACGGUCCAGACUCCUACGGGAGGCAGCAGUAGGGAAUCUUCCGCAAUGGGCGAAAGCCUGACGGAGCCACGCCGCGUGAGUGAUGAAGGUCUUCGGAUCGUAAAACUCUGUUAUUAGGGAAGAACAUCCGUGUAAGUAACUGUGCACGUCUUGACGGUACCUAAUCAGAAAGCCACGGCUAACUACGUG